Molecule: long non-coding RNA, 294 nt
Filed under: Struthio camelus australis
Lineage: Eukaryota; Metazoa; Chordata; Aves; Struthioniformes; Struthionidae
Description: lncRNA (ENSSCUG00000004653.1)
Source: RNAcentral
AGAAGAAUGCUUUUCUCCUACUAAGUCCCUUGCACCUGCUCCCUUAAAAAAGCAGCAAUGCAAGCAAAUGGAGAACUAUGAGGCUGGAGUGUCCUAGUCCUUUCAGUUGUUCCUAAUUCCCCAUUGGCUUAAAGAGACAUGAGGAGCAUAUGGUCGUUCUGAAUAUCCUCAGAGCAAAAUGGGCAUGUUCAGUAUCUGCUGCCCUGAAGACCUCUGGCCACAGAAAGCCAGGCCUACCUGCCAGACCAGCACAGAUGACUUUCUGAACUCUGCAUAGCUAAGAGCUUGUUUAUG